This is a non-coding RNA of Prunus mume (Japanese apricot), 423 nucleotides long. The record is from RefSeq and is a predicted model, not a curated record. NCBI's taxonomy places the organism in Eukaryota, Viridiplantae, Streptophyta, Magnoliopsida, Rosales, Rosaceae.
UUUGAACCAGUUGGUUGGGCUGGUUGGGGGCAGCCAUGGAAGAUCAGAGAUCACUGUUCUGCAUGCGUGGGAGGCCGUCGAUUUUCGUUUGGGGAGGCGCGCUGCAAAUCCAGCCGCCCUUUUGGUCUUUAUCUUAUCGGUUCUCCUCUCAGAUGUUGUGUUCGUGUGUUGCUGUUCCAGAAGCGCUUCAUCCUUCUUCUCAUCGCACGGGUUUAGCUCAAAGGAUUUCUGGUUUUCUAGGGAGGAAGAUCUAAGGAAAAAGAACUGGAGUAAUCAAUAUGAGAACCCCCAGUCAGCUCAUCAAUCUGGUGGUCUUUUGUUGCUUUGGAUAGAGCAGUUUGGUUGGUGUUUUCAAUUCUGUUAAGCAAGGGGUGAGUUUCUAGGCUGAAAUUCCAAUUAAUUGUUUUAAGGUUUGUGAAUAGA